GAUUUCUGGUUUGGUGCGCCUGGCCCACUGCCUUCAGGUAUGUGAGUGCCGGUGCGCGCCUGCCAUCCCUUCUAGAGAACGAUUCUGCCCUUCACUGGUGUCGGAGUCGCGAUCUAGAUCUUUUACUUUGAAAAAAUUAGAGUGUUUAAAGCAGGCUUGCGCUAUGAAUACAUUAGCAUGGAAUAAUAAUUUAGGACUUGUCUCCUAUUUUAUUGGUUUCUAGGGGUUAAGUAAUGAUUGAUAGGGAUAGUUGGGGGUGCUAGUAUUCAUCGGCCAGAGGUGAAAUUCUUGGAUUCGAUGAAGACUAACUAAUGCGAAAGCAUU
Molecule: ribosomal RNA, 324 nt
Filed under: Nucleocercomonas sp.
Lineage: Eukaryota; Cercozoa; Cercomonadida; Cercomonadidae
Description: SSU rRNA
Rfam family: Eukaryotic small subunit ribosomal RNA (bases 83-324)
Source: RNAcentral